AGUGUCUGUCUCUAGUGAAAGUAAGUCGUUCGCCAUCUUCAGGACUCGAGGCCUCCACCGUAGAAGUUACCAUUAGAGAGGUUGGUGUAGAAAGUGAGACUGGGACGUUCGUUAGUGAUUGCUCUCUACAUAUGGGGCGUUGGAUUGGGUCUUUUUGGAUCUUACGUGCGACGUCGUUUUCGUAAUUUGAAGAAAAUCCUUU
Molecule: long non-coding RNA, 202 nt
Organism: Arabidopsis thaliana (thale cress)
Lineage: Eukaryota; Viridiplantae; Streptophyta; Magnoliopsida; Brassicales; Brassicaceae
Product: other RNA
Exons: 2
Source: RefSeq